This 435-nucleotide ribosomal RNA is filed under the name uncultured bacterium. RNAcentral describes it as "partial 16S ribosomal RNA". It matches the Rfam family "Bacterial small subunit ribosomal RNA", at positions 355 to 780 of the family's 1533-position model. The record is from RNAcentral.
UAGGGAAUCUUCGGCAAUGGACGAAAGUCUGACCGAGCAACGCCGCGUGAGUGAAGAAGGUUUUCGGAUCGUAAAACUCUGUUGGUAGAGAAGAACGUUGGUGAGAGUGGAAAGCUCAUCAAGUGACGGUAACUACCCAGAAAGGGACGGCUAACUACGUGCCAGCAGCCGCGGUAAUACGUAGGUCCCGAGCGUUGUCCGGAUUUAUUGGGCGUAAAGCGAGCGCAGGUGGUUUAUUAAGUCUGGUGUAAAAGGCAGUGGCUCAACCAUUGUAUGCAUUGGAAACUGGUAGACUUGAGUGCAGGAGAGGAGAGUGGAAUUCCAUGUGUAGCGGUGAAAUGCGUAGAUAUAUGGAGGAACACCGGUGGCGAAAAGCGGCUCUCUGGCCUGUAACUGACACUGAGGCUCGAAAGCGUGGGGAGCAAAACAGGAUUA